This is a long non-coding RNA of Gasterosteus aculeatus aculeatus (three-spined stickleback), 6219 nucleotides long. The record is from Ensembl. Lineage: Eukaryota; Metazoa; Chordata; Actinopteri; Perciformes; Gasterosteidae.
UGUGUACAGUCAAGCGAGCAUCCUUAGUUUUAUGUUGAGUUUAGAGUGUUUAUGAGGAUCCAGGCCGCUAAAGCUGAAUAUUCACCAAAUAAUAAUAAAUAAUAUCACAAAACAUUGAUCAAAAAUAUAUGAAACAAAUGGAAACAGUUUAAAAGUGGUGUGUGUGUGUGUGUGUGUGUGUGUGUGUGUGUGUGUGUGUGUGUGUGUGUGUGUGUGUGUGUGUGUGUGUGUGUGAGAGUGUGUGAGAGAGGAGAAAGAGAAAGAGACUGUGUGGUUAAAGAUAUUCUCUCCAUCCAACCUUUCCUCCAUCUGUCCAUACAUCCCUCAUCUGUACGGUCCAAUUAAAUUCAUCACGUUGUGCCCCUCAGAGAGAGAGAGAGAGAGAGCUAAAUGUAGACAGGGGAACCCCACACACAAAUGCACACCAGACAAAUAGGACACACACUGCCAAUCGGACUAAAAGCAAAUAAUAAGAAAUUAUAUAAUAAUAAAUAAAGAGAGAGACAGAGCGGAGAAUGAAAGUGGCAUGCUCAUGAUGUAUCGCUGCCUCGCGAAAUAAAACGUAUUCAUAAAGAAUAUUCAUUACCUCUGCAAGCCAUCCCACAGAUGGCCAGAAAAUUGGCAUUGUGUUGAGAUGUGGAUUCAGGCAUGCAUAUUAAUGGGGGACAGAUGUAAGCGCAUAUUCAUAUUCUUUGCCUUCUUUCUUCCCCCCUGACACACACAAUGAUAAUGCAACCACUUAGGAGAAAGGGGGAAAGAGGGAAAGGGCUGCACCCGGGAAGCAAUUCAACCUCUAAUGUGCUGGUGGGUUAUUAGCUUUUGGUCCGAUUGGCAUUGUGUGUCAUGUGCAUUUGAGUGCAGCGUUGCCCCGUCUCCAUUUAACUCGCUCACUCUCAAAUUCAAGUACAGCGUUGGCAGGAUUCAACGCUGUGUCUCUAACCUAAGCAUAGUUACAUGUUGAUAAGUGAUACAAUAAAUAAUGACAGCCAACAAGCAGAAGGAAUAACAAGGUGUCGUUCUCUGUUCCUCACCUAAUGGCCGGCAGAAGCAGGGGGCUGCUGCCAGCUCACAGCUAUUAGCAGCCUCCUCUAGCAGGACCGAUAAUGUGUCCUCCACUGGGUGCUGGAGAGCUUUGGCUCUUAAAAAUACAUUUUCAACGGUAUUUCCCUCUUUAAUUCGUCUAUUUCUAACAUUCGGUGAGGAAGUCUAGUCCUUUUUUGAGCUCACAUAGGGCGCCGCUCCCUUUUCCCACCUUUCUCUCUCUCUGGUGAUUGCGUCAACAUUCUUAACUUUUAAUGGCAAAAAAACAAAAAAAAACGGAUUGACUUUGGCAUUGUGUCUCUGCUCAUGUGACGCUCUGGAAGACAUCCUUAUUUUAACCAUCAAGAUUAUUUUUUUUCUCCACUGUCUCUAUUUGCUUCCACAAGAGGACAGUAGCGUUCUCUUGGCUCCUCUUUCAAAGUCACAGCACUGUCUUCAUAACUUCUACACUGACCGUAUGUAAAUUAAAGUCCUCGCCAAGAUUCACAUAGUCAGCACAAAACAUGGAGUCUAUUUUUGCAUUCAGCUGCGUGUAUCGGUGCGGUUUGCUUGGGGUUUUGCUCACAGCUUGAGGUAUUCAGAGGGAUGGACAAAUAUGACUGUAACUAAACACACAGGAAUGACUCCAGCACAAUUGAAAUCAAUAAUAAAACCACUUUAUUUGACACCAGUGCUGUGCCCAUUGCACAGCAUCAAACCCUUGGCUUCCCUGUACAUAUUACAUCUCAUCUCCAGGUUACAGCCUAUAUAUGUCACUGGAAUCCUCGAGGAGGGUUUUAAUACUAACAGCCUCAUAAACCCUCAAUCCAGUAACAGAGCGCUGCUCAAUUGGAGUAAAACCUUCUUUGUGUAAGUGUGUGCCAAUCUGGAAAAUUAAAGCCAGUUAAUAAAAAGCAACGCUAAAUCAAUGGAAGCCGUAAAAGUUACAGGGUGAUAUUAAAAUGUAGAAGGGUGGGGGUGGCAUUAACACGCCGGGCCUGAAUUAUUAUGUUAAUUUAAUAUCCACUGUUCAAAUGAAGCAGAAAGCCCAAUAAAGGUCAAUUAAGCAACUCGCCUCCUAUUUCCAUUUAGGAUUUUAGGGCCUCAUCUAAAUCACUGGGCUGGUACCAGGUUCCUUUGGUAUCAAGCGUUCAGAGACAGCUCCUCCUUUGAACUACAGAUGUGUUCUUGCUGCUGCACACAAGAUCAAUGUUUACACAUCCGGGUCCCAUUUUAUCUCUCCAAGCUUACUCUCUGUAUGUCUUGAUAUUUAAGUAAAUGUGUAUUCUCAUUUUGGAAUUGUUUAAUGCAUAUAGCAUGUAUUUUUUGUACAAAAUUCUCUUUGGCGAUACACUGAAUGUGACGUAAGGUUGUUUCCAUUGAUCAAGCCUCUGUUUCAUAUAAAUAAUGAACUGUUCAAUCCCUAAGGCUUUGCAUUGAACUGGAUUUAUUUUUAAAUAUGCAUGCGGAUUGAUGUUCUAUGGUCCGAAAGGAAAUAAUUAUUGAUUAGGCCAACCUCAUGACUGGAAAAACUGGCAUAUGUAUCAAAUAAAUGCCAAAAAUAAUGACAACUCACCCACCCGCUCCACUAUAAUAGGAGUAGUAACUGAAAUGUAAUAUCGAUGUUCUCUGACACAUUUGUGAAGAAAUCAGUAAACGGAGUGAUGAAUAAUUCCAAUGUGUUUAUUGACGGUAGCGUGCUGCAUUCAGACACGGCUGCAUGCAGAUCCAUAGUCUUAGGAAUAAAUCACACUGAGCCAGUUAGAGCAAGUCUUUCAAGAUUUGCAGUUAAUAAACUAAAGCAGGACCUUUGCUGUUGUGUGACCUGACGUAUAAAGUCACUCUCUUUCUGGGCUCCACCUUUUAUGUAAUGGCGUCUAUGUUGUGUGGAGGCAUUAUAUAAAUGCUCUGAAUUGAUUUGUAUUGAGCACAUUUGAGUAAAUACUUAUGUACGCUGUUACUUGCUCAUUCUAUAACGGGGCAAUAUAACCUUGUUCAUUAUGAUUUUUUAAAUGAAAUAGGCCAUAAUAGGUUCUGGUUUUUGUUUGUCUCCUAUAACAGCAAGACAUCGGAGGACAAAACAAGAACAUUUUCCACUCUAUUGACAAAAUUAGAAGAUGAAUAGCUAAUUCCAAUAACCUUUACUUUCCUUAUUUAAAUUUUGCACUAAUACAAGGAUGAAAAGGUUCACACAAACAAGUGAAACCACACAUGACCCAAACUAGUUUAUGUGAACCUCUGAAUGUAAAGCCUAAAUGUUGUGUGUAGUUAUCAAUUCCGUCCCACAUGCUGGUCUUGACUCUGAGCCUUUUGGGAUAAAGUUCAGGCUUGUGUCAAACAUGGCUUUUGCAUCUUUAAAUACACACGUUCUCUCUUUGAAGCGCCCACAUACAAAAUGCAUAACGCACAAAAGUUCAGCAAAAUGCUUCAGUGCAAAGUGAGCGUCGUUGCUUCCUUCCCCAUGCUACACAUCUGGAUGGUGUCCGGAUGCAUUACAUGACUGAAUGGGUAAGUGACCCAGAUUCUGAAAUGGGAUUCUAGGUGUCUAAAAAACAUGGAAUUGUUCUCGGACAGAUGUUACUUUUUUAUAAUUACAUCAGCCAGGAAAACACUGCUAUGAACGGCACACCGAAUUAAAAAAAAAAGGCAAUACAUAUGCAAUAGUAUCAAUACUCUUUUUUUGGGGUGAUGUCAUGGUUUCACAAUGUUCAUCCUGUGUGACACGAUGAUGAAACAUUUACCUCCUGUGCUUGUGGCUCCUGCCUGAUUCCUUAUAAAACCCCGGCGCAGCGCGGCUCUCGCUGUGUUCACAGUCGAAAUAGACUCGGGCCUUUUUGUUUAUCAGAAACGGAAAAAAAAAGGAAAAAAAAGAAGCUAUCAGAUACUCCAGUACGCCUAAAGAACACACACGCAGUCUGUGCUGCCUGGACGUGCCUGUGAAGCCACGCCGCGCUGAAGGCAAUCUGUCUCCCCCACCCGUAACGACCAUCUGUCAUUAGUGCAGAUCAAUGGAGAUGAUGGAUGGGGAGGGCUGGCUGUGCUGACAGCAGCACUGAGACGGGGGUGGGUGGGGGUGUGGGGGUCCUGGGUGGAAUCACCGCGGUUAUGGUGCGUGGUCCCGACCCAGCGGGCAAAAUUCUCUGAUGUUGAUUUAGCUUCUGAGGUCGGGUUGAUACGACUUGGGACGAUCCAGAAAAGCUUCAGAUUGAAUUCGGAAUAUUCAAAAUGAAUUCUAGUCUAGAGUGUCUGGAGCGCACCCACCCACUCGCGACGGCUCCGAUGCCAGACGUGUUAUGAAUUCUCUCCGAAUAAUCCAUUUUCCUGAGCACUUAGUGGGUUAUUCAAAGCAUGUCGUAUGGAGUCGAUGUAAAACAAGGCAAUGAAACAAGCAGAGAAAGGACUGCGCCAAGACUGCACAUCUAGGAGCAUGAAAUCCCAAUAACCAGAGCGAACCACUUUGGAUUCAUCCAGAGUCAUCAAGAGGACCGGACAUAAAUUUGAUGAAGCACAUUUCACACUCGCUGAGAAAAGAUGGACGGGCCGAGACCUGUUAAAAUCCCUGGGGGGGUUUUGAACAAGAGCAAUGGACGAAAUAAAGGGCUUAUCUCCAAUUUUAGUCCCCAAAAUUGAAUUCGGAGGGAACAGUGGCUCCAGUGUGGGACAAAUCCCUCAUCUAUAUUCCCUCACCACACCCCCCUCCCCCACACACAAUCUCAAAGAUGUUCAGUUUCUUUUGUCAUCUUUUCCUGUGAUCACAUCAAUGACUUAACAAACACAAAUUAAAGGGCACAGUAACGCAAAAUAUAACAAAAUGCUAAGAUGAAACAACACAUUCACACAUAUAACAAUUCAGAUUACCUUCUUUCUAGCAAUAAAGAGCCAUACAAUGACUAAAACCCACAAAAUGACCUGUACACAGCCUUACUACUGCACACGUACUGACAGGCUCACACACACACACACACACGCACACACACACACACACACGCACUCAUGCACUCGGGCAAUGGGAAUUGCUUCGGAAAAACAGCACCUGCUCCUCCAUUUGAAAACUAUUUAGGGAGGCAUCAAACUCUAUCAGGGCAGGUCUGAUUGCGGUCGCCUCUUCACAGUCCCCCAAUCACUCAGUGAGUCAAUUAGCCCCCCCGCCCCCUUACACACACGCUCACAGACACACACACACACACAUACAAUAUGCACAACAGACUCCCAUUCCCUUUCAGUCCGCUGUGGGUUCCGCCGGGGAAUGAGAGUCCAUCGGCGGCCUCCCGGCAACACCUGAGGACCCCCACCCCCCCCUUCCACCCCACCCCUCCCUCCUUCCGCACCCAUAGUCAGCUAAUAGCGGUGCUCCAAGGGCACCCGAGCCACAAUGGCGCUCAAUUCACCCCCAUUGUACCCUCUUUUACCAAGCCUCAUACCAGCGCCUCGACACCCAUUUAGCAGAUGAUGGGAAAAGAAAGAGAGGGCGAAGCCGAGCGAGGGGGGAGGGUAAAGGGGGGGAGGUAGGAAACGAGCGACGCAGCGACAGGGGUGACGCGUCCGCUCACCUCUGGGAUCAUUCACUUUGUUCGGCGGAGGGGAAUUUGAUUGUGCCGUUCCCCCCCCGUGCAUGCGCUCUGUGUCGGCCCCCGGUUCUCGCAGGUACCCUGGAGGGCGUCCGCGGGCCUGCGGGCGCGUUGCACGUCGCAUUCGGGUUUCACCUGCGCGUUGUGCCCGCGCCCCGUCGGCUCUCUGGGCGAAGCGGGCGGCGCUCUCUCACAAUCGCUUAUUUAUUCGGGGCCUUUUGAAAUAAUCGAGUUGACACAUCUGUCAGAUGGUGAGGGGAGGAAUGCUAAAAGGUCACCGGGCGAGGUAGCAGCUGCUCCCGCACCAAACCUUUCCUGCCUCCAAAUAGCACAGUCAUUACACGACAACAGAUGGGACUCCUGCCUUUCAUUUCUGCCUCUCACACACACACACACACACACACGUAGAAGCGCACGUGCAAAUUGGUCACAUGCACACACAUACACAGAGGUGCAGUCACACUUGUCACUGACAAUACAGGGAAACAAGCAGAGACAUGUACUGUACACAUCUGCACACACACACACACACACACACACACACACACACACACACACACACACACACACACACACACAUAGACACGUGUUGUCCAUCACUGUCUCGCUUGCUCUCACCUUUGCUCUCCUG